RNAcentral lists this ribosomal RNA (504 nucleotides) under uncultured bacterium. RNAcentral describes it as "bacterial SSU rRNA". It matches the Rfam family "Bacterial small subunit ribosomal RNA", at positions 35 to 571 of the family's 1533-position model. The record is from RNAcentral.
GCUGGCGGCGUGCCUAACACAUGCAAGUCGAACGAGAAAGUGGAGCAAUCCAUGAGUAAAGUGGCGACCGGGUGAGUAACACGUGACUAACCUACCUCCGAGUGGGGAAUAACUCCGGGAAACCGGGGCUAAUACCGCAUAACAUCGCAAGAUCAAAGCAGCAAUGCGCUUGGAGAGGGGGUCGCGGCUGAUUAGCUAGUUGGUGGGGUAACGGCCCACCAAGGCGAAGAUCGGUAUCCGGCCUGAGAGGGCGCACGGACACACUGGAACUGAAACACGGUCCAGACUCCUACGGGAGGCAGCAGUGGGGAAUUUUGCGCAAUGGGGGAAACCCUGACGCAGCAACGCCGCGUGGAGGAUGAAGCCCUUUGGGGCGUAAACUCCUUUCGACUCGGACGAUUAUGACGGUACGAGUGGAAGAAGCACCGGCUAACUCUGUGCCAGCAGCCGCGGUAAUACAGAGGGUGCGAGCGUNGUUCGGAAUUAUUGGGCGUAAAGGGCGCG